RNAcentral lists this ribosomal RNA (468 nucleotides) under uncultured bacterium. RNAcentral describes it as "partial 16S ribosomal RNA". It matches the Rfam family "Bacterial small subunit ribosomal RNA", at positions 28 to 507 of the family's 1533-position model. The record is from RNAcentral.
GACGAACGCUGGCGGCGUGCUUAACACAUGCAAGUCGAACGGAAAGGCCCUGCUUUUGUGGGGUGCUCGAGUGGCGAACGGGUGAGUAACACGUGAGUAACCUGCCCUUGACUUUGGGAUAACUUCAGGAAACUGGGGCUAAUACCGGAUAGGAGCUCCUGCUGCAUGGUGGGGGUUGGAAAGUUUCGGCGGUUGGGGAUGGACUCGCGGCUUAUCAGCUUGUUGGUGGGGUAGUGGCUUACCAAGGCUUUGACGGGUAGCCGGCCUGAGAGGGUGACCGGCCACAUUGGAACUGAGAUACGGCCCAGACUCCUACGGGAGGCAGCAGUGGGGAAUAUUGCACAAUGGGCGGAAGCCUGAUGCAGCAACGCCGCGUGCGGGGUGACGGCCUUCGGGUUGUAAACCGCUUUCGCCUGUGACGAAGCGUGAGUGACGGUAAUGGGUAAAGAAGCACCGGCUAACUACGUG